Long non-coding RNA from Solenopsis invicta (red fire ant), 437 nucleotides. RefSeq lists it as uncharacterized. Lineage: Eukaryota; Metazoa; Arthropoda; Insecta; Hymenoptera; Formicidae. The transcript has 3 exons. The record is from RefSeq and is a predicted model, not a curated record.
GAGGAUCUUCCAGUGAGAGUCGAAAAAGUUGAACGGAGCAGGGCCUAACUGUAACAAAGAACCUAAUAUUAAUUGCGCAUUAUAAGUUGUUUUCGUUAACCAACACACAACAUUAAUUUCAAUAUUUUAAAUCCAGUGUUAUUCCACUAGGUUGAUUCUGAUUACAAUAGAAAGUACAACAAAUAAAAAACAACAGAUAAUUGGCACAGUCUAAAGAGAGAAAACAGCAACACAACCUUUACGAUGCUAAAAACUGUACUUCAUAGAAACAGAGACGUCGCUACAAAAAUGACUCAAAUGAAUAAUAAAUAUAUCAAUAAAUGAAGUUAUGCUGUUUUAUCAACUCUGUUGUGGCUGGGAAAAAUUCAAAAAAAUUUGUGGAACAUUAGUUUUGCGCACGUUCAGCACGAUGAUGCUCUGGUCAGGAUGGAUACGAC